UGAUUAUUGCUUUGCCCCUUUUGUCAUGAAUUAGAGGCUUUACAACUGAUGGCCUCACUGCUAUUGCUGCCAAUUGUAGCCAUUUCAGUUACUCAUUAAGUUCUUACCAAUGGGUUGUGGUUUGAUAUGGCAAGAGAUCUCAAUUGCAGCAAAUGUAGCCCAAAAGGAAAUUGAUAAGUACAUCAAGAUACCUGGAGAACCCUUCAGCUAAGUCGACCUAUCAACAACAAUUCCAUAUCGGUCCAAAUGCUGAGGUUUUGCAGUCUCCUCCAGCUAAAUACAUCUACUUAGGACAAAUGGGAAACUUAAUUUGGUUCACACAGCACA
Molecule: long non-coding RNA, 327 nt
Filed under: Rosa chinensis
Lineage: Eukaryota; Viridiplantae; Streptophyta; Magnoliopsida; Rosales; Rosaceae
Description: sRNA RchiOBHm_Chr5g0069921
Source: RNAcentral